RNAcentral lists this unclassified non-coding RNA (472 nucleotides) under Rhizoctonia solani. RNAcentral describes it as "contains ITS1, 5.8S rRNA gene, ITS2". The stretch from base 72 to 225 matches the Rfam family "5.8S ribosomal RNA". The record is from RNAcentral. Lineage: Eukaryota; Fungi; Basidiomycota; Agaricomycetes; Cantharellales; Ceratobasidiaceae.
UUUGUCUACUUAAUCUAUAUAAACUCAAUUUAUUUUAAAAUGAAUUUAAUGGAUGUAACACAUCUAAUACUAAGUUUCAACAACGGAUCUCUUGGCUCUCGCAUCGAUGAAGAGCGCAGCGAAAUGCGAUAAGUAAUGUGAAUUGCAGAAUUCAGUGAAUCUUCGAAUCUUUGAACGCACCUUGCGCUCCUUGGUAUUCCUUGGAGCAUGCCUGUUUGAGUAUCAUGAAAUUUUCAAAGUCAAACCCUUUGUUAACUCAAUUGGUUCUGCUUUGGUAUUGGAGGUCUAUUGCAGCUUCACACCUGCUCCUCUUUGUGCAUUAGCUGGCUCUCAGUGUUAUGCUUGGUUCCACUCAGCGUGAUAAGUUAUUUAUCGCUGAGGACACCCUGGUAAAAAGGGGUGGCCAAGGUAAAUGCAGAUGAACUGCUUCUAACAGUCCAUUGUCUUGGACAAAUAUUAAUUUUAUGAUCUG